GAGCCUUGUCUAGGCUACCAGCCUACCGCUGCCAUCAUGCACAAACAUGUCCCAUAACCCCUAUAUGUAAUAUGUAUAGCUUUGUGUGGUGAAAACAUGUUCUUUGAAGGUUUGCCAAGACCACCACGGUACCACCAACAAUUUUAGACCUUUGUGUCUCAUCUCUCUGAAGAACUUUAUGUUUCCAAUAUGAUGCAUUUGUGGUUCUCUUUGAUUGUUGGCCACUCCUAGCUUAUGUCAUUCUUAUUGUAUAGUAUUUCCUUUAGCCCUUCUCUAUUAAUGAAAUAUAAGUAGUGAGCUCCUGCAAUUUUUUUAGGGGAAAAGAUAGUUUUACUAUUUGUCAUGAAAAUCCACCUUCGCUAUUAAGUAUCGUCUACACCCC
This 382-nucleotide long non-coding RNA is filed under the name Setaria viridis. RNAcentral's name for it is "long non-coding RNA (SVIR_LNC002293)". The record is from RNAcentral. Lineage: Eukaryota; Viridiplantae; Streptophyta; Magnoliopsida; Poales; Poaceae.